GCACAGUCCGUAGCCAGUAUCAGCCGGAUGUUCUAUGAAGCUGGGAAGCGCAGCAGCUUGUCCCGGCUUUAGUUCAGCAGGCUGGAUAGGGUUCAGCACCACUACAGGCUGGACAGCUCCCAGCAGCCGCCGCAAGGAAAUCCUGGCAGGUGUCAGAACCUUCCUGGCUGCUUCGCUCCUGCCUUCACAUUCCUCGAAGACAUUGUUAGGGUUUGCCAAGCUGCCUGCCCUCCUUUUUCUCUCUGUUGGAUUAAAGCUUCACCCUGAAUUGGCAUCACCAUGAACAAGCGCCAUUGCACCGCAGAGCAAACUGCUGGCAGCAGUACAGGAGGCAACCAAAGGGAGAAACCAAGGCUGCUCGUGGAUGGUGAACAUUGUGUGGAUUACAACCAGACUUCUGGAAUUGUGCAGGAGGUUCAGCAUAAUUUGCUGCAAGAGUCACCAAGCUUUGUGCGAGACAAAUUGCCUUCAUCUAAUUUCUGCCACCAACCAACUUUGGAAAGAUCCAAUGGAGAGGUGGCGUCUCACUCAGGGGACAUACACCAGAAUCCGAAGUGUUGCCAAUGUAACCAUCAAGAGUGCAAAACAAACUACCUUACCCCUCAACUGCCAGGCCAUGAAGAGAGAGGAACACUGCGUUCCCAGCACUCCGGCGGAAGUGUUCCAUCUGAAACUUUCCAUCAAACUACAGAAUGUCUAUGGAAGCCCUGGGCUAGCGAGCAGAGAACUGGUCAGCCAACGCAGCACCAUGUUGUCUCUGUCAGCGACAGCAAAUGCCUGAGGAUGCCACAAAGUUAUUCUCAGCUGAUCACUGAAUGGCCACUACCAGUCUUGGCAAUCUGUUUGCUUCUAAUAGUCAUAUGUACUCUGGCUGGGCUCCUGGUCGGACAAAUGCCAGACUUCUCAGAACCUCUGAUGGGAUUUGAACCCAGAGGUACAGAAAUCGGGAGAAAGUUAAUAACCUGGAGGAACAUGCAGAUCAACACUGGAUAUAAAAAAGCACUGUCUGUCUAUCCUCAUAGUGAGAAAAUCAGCCUGGAUGAAACGGACCUCAACCGAGGAAAUGAAAAACUGAUUCAAGGCAGAAAAGAUCAAACUAGGAACCGCCGCAUGGUUGAACAAGAAGAUGGAGUAGAUGGAUUUUUCUGUGGUCCUCCAGAAAAGAGCUAUUCGCAACUCGUGUUCAUGUCUAAAACAGCAGGGAGUUUGUGGAAUCUGCAGGCAAUCCAAUCCAUGUGUCGCAUGGAAAAUGAAAAGAUCCGUUCCCACCCCAGCUUCACAGAAUUUUGUGAGCGUGGCCAUACAAAAGAAUGCUGUCCCAGCUGGUCUCUUGGCAACUACAUUGCAGUCCUUUACAAUCGAUCAUCAUGCAUGGAAAUCACACAGUCUGAUAUUUCUCAUACGCUGACUCUUCUACGCUCCUGUGCACCAGACUACCAUAGAGGCACUCUUACCCAUUCAUGCAUAGGCCCCAGGUCAGAGAGAUUGAAGCACUCACAUUGUGCCAAAGUGCCAGAAAAAUGUGUUCGAUCCAGUGCAGUUUAUCAGUUGCUUCACUUUCUGCUCGACAGAGACUUUUUGAGUCCCCAAACAACAGGUUAUCAAGUUCCAUCAUUAAAGUACAGCUUGUUAUUUUUGCCAGCCAAAAAGGGGUCAUCCAUGAUGAACAUAUACUUAGACAAUCUGGAGUCCUGGGAUCUCUUUGAUAACUACACAGCCAUUACGGGAAUGGACUUGGGGCUAAAGCAGAAACUUUUUCAACACUAUCUUGUCUUAGAUACUGUGUAUCCUGUUUUGGCGAUAAUAGCUAUUUUUCUAAGCAUUUAUUUUUACCUGCGUUCUGUUUUCAUAACCUUUAUGAUCAUGAUAUCUGUGAUUGGCUCCCUAUUGAUCUCGUUUUUCUUAUACAAGCUGAUUUUCAGACUGACUUUUUUCCCCUUUGUUAACUUGAUGGCAGUUAUCCUUCUCAGCAGCAUCUGUGCCAACCAUGCCUUUGUUUUCUUUGAUCUAUGGAACCUUAGCAAAAUUCAGCACUCUGCGGCUGGGCUAAUGCAGUGGGUGAGCCAUACUAUGCAUCACUUUGGAUAUCUUAUGAUAGUGUCUUGCUUUACCAUGGCAGCUGCAUUUUAUGCCACAUAUAUGAGCAGCAUCACCUCUGUACGUUGCUUUUCUAUCUAUAUGGGUUCUUCGGUGUUGGUGAAUAUGAUAUUCAUGAUAACCUGGCUCCCUGCCACCAUUGUUGUAUAUGAACGGUACAUAGCGGUAAACUGCUCUUAUAAAUCUGAAGAAUUUUGGAACAGCAGCACACAUAAAAGACACUUGCUUUCCUUCUGCCAAAAGUUGAAAGGUCUCCAGAGCACCUUAUCUGAAACCUCAAAACUUCUCUUUGAGAAGCUCCUUCCCUGCGGGGUAAUAAAGUUUCGAUACAUCUGGAUUUGUUGGUUUGCAGCCCUAGCUGCAGGUGGUGCAUAUAUUGCUUGCAUGAGUCCAAAACUGAGUUUACCCUCUUCUGAGAUAUCAUCUCUUCAAGUUUUUCGACUCAGCCAUCCCUUUGAGAGGUAUGAUGCCGAAUACUGCCACCAGUUUAUGUUUGAUCGUUCAGAGCAUGGUGAAGGACAACACAUGCCUAUUACUCUAAUUUGGGGCAUUAAACCACUUGAUAACAGUGACCAUCUUAAUCCAAAAGCCAACGGAACACUGGUUACAGAUGCUACAUUUACUAUUAGAAAUGCUGGGGAUCAGAAUUGGCUCAUGGAAUUGUGCCAUAAGGUGAAAAACCAAAGCUUUUAUUACUCCGACCAAGACAGGAAACCAAACAUCUGCUUCAUGGAAGACUUCCACAGGUGGAUGGAAAGCCGACAGUGUUCACAAACAGACCAAAACCUUAACCUUUGUUGCAAUCAUGUUACAUUUCCCUAUAGGAGUGACAUACUUCUUCACUGUAUAAAAAUGAUGGUGAGAGAACAAGGGGAUGAUGGAACAGAAACGUAUGAUAUUGGUCCCAGAUUUGAUGCAGAUGGUAACCUAACAGCCUUGGUUUUGGAAUUUCAGACUGUGUAUCAUUAUAGCUUCAACUACAGCAAAACCAAGACAUUUUACAACACUUUAAACCAGUGGCUGAUGAAUGAAGUGAAGAAUGCCCCCUUAGGUCUACAGAAUGGGUGGUUUACAAGCAAACUUUCACUUUAUAAUCUUCAGCACACCCUAAGUACUGAACUUAUGGUGGUAACCAGCUUUUCCAUUGCAAUUUCCUUUGUGGUUCUUCUGCUUACUACAUGGAAUGUCUUCCUUAGUCUCUUUGGUGUAACUGCAAUCGGAGGAUCUGUUUUGGUCACAACUGGACUUUUGGUUCUGUUAGAAUGGCAGCUGAAUGUAAUAGAAUCUCUACUUAUUUCAGCAGCUGUUGGUCUUUCUGUUGACUUUACAGUCAAUUACUGUAUUUCAUACCACCUUUGCCCACAUCCAGACCGCCUAAGCAGAGUAGCAUUUUCUUUAAAACAAAUGAGUUGUGCCACAGCUAUGGGGGCUUCCACUAUGUUUUCUGCUGGGAUAAUAAUGCUGCCUGCUACUGUCCUGGCCUACAGGAAACUGGGCAUUUUUAUAAUAAUGAUAAAAUGCAUAAGCUGUGGAUUUGCCACUUUCUUUUUCCAGUCACUGUGCUGUUUUUUCGGACCAGAGAUGAACUGUGGACAGAUAAUAUGGCCCUGUGCCAAUGCGUUUAAAGAAUAUCCAAAUGACUCAAGAUUAAAUGGUACUUUUGUUUGUAGUGGAAAAGAGAAGCAUAACAGAAUACGGAAAAUGCAAGAUUCCAACACGGACAAUGAACAAUAUGAGCUUCAGCCUUUAGCUAGGAACCUCAGUGACAGUUUUGAUAACAGCACAUGCACUAGUAAACUCUCCAAACGACCAUCUAUGGUGUCUGAGGAUAUCCAAAUCUCAGAAUAUAAAUACCCCAAGCUUGGAAGCCACCACACUCAGAAUGCAGAAUCCGAAGCGUUAGAGGCCAACACCAUUACCCACCAAGCAGUAUUUAGUGAUUGCCCAGCUUUGCAAACCUCAUCCCCAUACAGACAGAGUAGCUUUGACAAUGAGACAGAAGCACAAGAAGGAUCUUGCAGAAGCUGCAUCUGCCAAAAUAUGAACAGCAAGAACUGGAAUGGUUCAGUAGUUGACCAUAACCAAGAAGGCAAUAUGCACUGUCCAAUACAGCCAAACAGUGAAAUACAGACAGUGCUCUAUUCUGAAAAUAAAAGCAUUCAAAUGUACGAAUAUUCCAGGUGCCUUUGUUCUAUGGGUAGCUCGUUUGAUGUCCUUGAUUCAAAUGAAACAUGUCUUAGUGAGCUUGAGCAGAGUUCAAAGUUGGCCGAAACAACGAGCUGCUCUCCUGAUUUUCUUGAUGUCCCCAAUUCCCCAUGCCAUGAUGAAAGGGGUCACUUGAAUGGCAAAAGAGAAACACUAAGACUGGCUCUUAAGGAAACGGUGUUUGAUUCAGCUUCUUCAAGACAGGCCUGCACGUCAUGGAAAGUCCAAUCAAGGCAAGGCAGUGAAAACUCUGUUGUUCUACCAAACAGUAAACCAGAUAUGCCUGACGUCUGGAUAAAGAGGCCAAAUGAAUAUAAUUCUGGCUAUAUUAGCUGAACUUUUGCCUUGAGAAAUGUCUGAAGGUUUUUUUUUUUUUGUUUUGUGUUUUUUUUUACAUAAACUGGAACUUAAUCUCAGUUUUAUUUUGCAUAAAUCUGGUUUUACUCAUAUGAAACAGCAAAAUUGUAUAGCAGGAGGAUGAUGCAAAUACUUUAUUCAUUUGUUUAAUUUUUGUAGCUAAUACUAUAUUUAGAUAUUUGUGGCUAGAUACCUCUUUAAACAUUUAGCAGAUUUUAAUUAUGUGUAAGCAAAUAUAUGUUUAAGUCAUAAUCACGUGUGUAAUACAUAACAGCAUUAUUUUUACUUAUGGAAAGACCUUUGUAGCAAUGUAUGAUCAAGACAGCUUUCAGAUGCAAAACCAAAUUGCUCAAAAGUCAAUACACGAAAAAGCACAUCUAGUCCAAUGAACCAUGGAAAUUAUUCUGAUCGUUAAUUUUGCAUAAAAAAAGUAAAAAAAACAGCAUGCUUGAAAAUAUGUCAGUAGCCACAUCCAUGUUCUGUUUUUGUUGUUUAAUGAGCACUGGCAAUUGUAAGUUCUCGUUAUUUCAUUUGAAAGCCGGCAUAACUAAAAUACAACUGAGAAUGUAGAAUUUAGUUAAAGGAUUUGGUAAAUCCAGUUGUCCACAUGUGUUAAAAGAGCUCACACUGCCCCAGCAACUUGGUCACCCCCAACAUAUUGUAUGUCCGUUCGACAUCAUCUUUUUAUGAACUUGGGGAAGUGCUGUAAUUAUCCUGGGAAUCUACUUCUAAUGGGGAAGAGUCAAGAAUGUAACGCUGACAUUUUUGGAUUUCCUAGUAAGUUUGAAGUGUUAAAUAUAUUGUAUUUUCACUUAGAUAAGAGUAGAGAACAAGUCAAGUAACUUGUAUAGAGGAUAAGUACAGGAGCAGCACAUCUGUACACAAAAUCUUAAAAAGAUAAGUUGCUAAGUGUGGGGGUCACCUGUAAAAUUUUAAACAGUAAAUUAUAGUAAAACAGGGCACAACUGUCGAAAAAGUUGCAUUUAUUAUGCAAUUAAUUGUGCAUAGUCCCACAAUUUGGCCUCUAGAUGCUUCCCACACUUAUAAGAUGACCCAGAAGUGGCAUAUUCAUUGUUUGGUUCAUUCAUUGGCAAUCUGGCCUUUCAUCUGUGUGGCCAAACCACAUACUCAGAAUGACACUAUUCAGCGUACAAGUGGAAUGAACAGACAGUAAAGGAACCAACCUCCUUUACGGAGAUGAGUAUCUUUAACUAUAAUAAAUCAGUCUUUGUUAUAAUAAGCCAUAGUUUUUUAAAAAUAAAAAUGCCUGUUAGUGUUAAGAUAUUAUUCUCGUUAAUAAAACAAUCACAAAUUGUAUGUGAUACAAGCAUUUAACACAAUUUCUUUUUUUUAAAGUGACAAUUAUUAUUUGAGUGAUGCGGUGUAUGAAUUUUAUGAUACUGUACAAUGUACAUGUUUUUGUGCGUACCCCCUAAUGUGUGACAAUGUUUGCACAUAAGGCCUUACUGUGCUGAAAAAAAAUUAUACAAUGGUAUACAUCCCAUCCCUAACAUUUUUGCCCAUACUGUCCCCAACGCAACUUUUUUCACUGAUUUCUAUGAGAAGCUAAAUUGGAAGAAAGGGUUUCCAUAAUCGAUCCAAUAUCGAUAAACAAUAUGCACUUCUGCAGCUAGGUACAAUCAUUAUUGCUCUUGAUAUCAUGGUGGUUACUAGCUGUCUCUUGUAUAUAAUUAACAGAAUAGAUCAACUUUGUUAGGCAAUGCUCUUUAAUGUCUUUUGUGACCAUUUUCCAGAAAUGUGGUUUCCUUGUCUGUUUUUAAAAUGCACUUUUAUCUGAAAUUGUCAAAUGUGCUAUCCUAAAAUUUAUUUUCAGAAAAAUAUAUAACCUGCCAGUUCUUCUGCCAUUUGGGAUAUACUAUGGAACUGAUUUAUGCAUCAUCAAUGGCCAUGUGUAGGUUAAAUGAUGCCAGAAAAUGUAAUUAAGGAACAGUAACACCAAGAAAAAAAGCAUUUAAACUGCUAUGUAGCCAUGGGGACAGCCAUUUAAGCUGAAAA
Xenopus laevis (African clawed frog) is the source of this 6675-nucleotide RNA transcript. It is a transcript of the gene named dispatched RND transporter family member 2 L homeolog, with no coding region annotated. The transcript is spliced from 9 exons. NCBI's taxonomy places the organism in Eukaryota, Metazoa, Chordata, Amphibia, Anura, Pipidae. The record is from RefSeq and is a predicted model, not a curated record.